GCGGUAAUACUAGCAUAACGAGUGGUAUCCACGAAUAUUGGGUCUAAAGGGUCCGUAUCUGGCCUGUUAAGUUCGCUGUGAAAUCUUGGAGCUCCACUUCAAGGCGUGCAGCAUAUACUGGCGGGCUUGAGAGUGGGGGAGGUCAGGGGUACUCACGGGGUCAGAGUACAAUCUUGUAAUCCUGUGAGGACUUCCAGUGGCGUAAGCGCCUGACCAAAACACGUCUGACAGUGAGGGACGAAUGGCUAGGAGAACGACUCGGAUUACAUACGCUAGUAGCCCUAGCAGUAAAUUAUGCCUCACUGUGGUGUUGCCGCUUGCUUCGAGCAACUGCAGAGCUGUAGCGUAGUGUUAAGUC
RNAcentral lists this ribosomal RNA (358 nucleotides) under uncultured archaeon. Its description in RNAcentral is "bacterial SSU rRNA". It matches the Rfam family "Archaeal small subunit ribosomal RNA", at positions 467 to 821 of the family's 1478-position model. The record is from RNAcentral.